This 432-nucleotide ribosomal RNA is filed under the name Coralliophila squamulosa. RNAcentral describes it as "partial 12S ribosomal RNA". It matches the Rfam family "Microsporidia small subunit ribosomal RNA", at positions 644 to 1215 of the family's 1311-position model. The record is from RNAcentral. Lineage: Eukaryota; Metazoa; Mollusca; Gastropoda; Neogastropoda; Muricidae.
UAAAGCUUCAAACUGGGAUUAGAUACCCCACUAUUCUUGGAUAUAAAAUAACUAUAGUUUACCAGAGUACUAUGAAUUAACAAUUUAAAACUUAAAGGGCUUGGCGGUGUUUUAGACCUCUUAGGGGAACCUGUCUCAUAAUCGACAGUCCGCGCUAAACCUGACCUUUUUUUGCAUUCAAUUUGUAUACCGUCGUCGUCAGGUAACUUUUUAGAAAAUGGAAGUUAGCAACCAAACAAUAAUGAGUUUAUACGUCAGAUCAAGGUGCAGUUAAUAAGAAGGAGAGGAUGGGUUACAAUUAUAGAAUUAUAAUUACGAAAACUUUUUUGAAAUAAAAUUAUGAAGGAGGACUUAAAAGUAAGAUAAUGUAUAUAAACACUCUGAAUUAGGCUCUGAAACGUGCACACACCGCCCGUCACCCUCUGCAGUCAA